Molecule: ribosomal RNA, 542 nt
Filed under: Clostridioides difficile
Lineage: Bacteria; Bacillati; Bacillota; Clostridia; Peptostreptococcales; Peptostreptococcaceae
Description: bacterial LSU rRNA
Rfam family: Bacterial large subunit ribosomal RNA
Source: RNAcentral
GGUUUCUGCUAAGUCGCAAGACGAUGUAUAGGAGCUGACGCCUGCCCGGUGCUGGAAGGUUAAGGGGAUCUGUUAGAGCAAUCGAAGCAGUGAACUUAAGCCCCAGUAAACGGCGGCCGUAACUAUAACGGUCCUAAGGUAGCGAAAUUCCUUGUCGGGUAAGUUCCGACCCGCACGAAAGGCGUAACGAUUUGGGCACUGUCUCAACAACAGACUCGGUGAAAUUGUAAUUCCGGUGAAGAUGCCGGAUACCUGCGACAGGACGGAAAGACCCCAUGGAGCUUUACUGUAGCUUGACAUUGGGUCUUGGUACUACAUGUACAGGAUAGGUGGGAGGCUUUGAAACCAGGACGCCAGUUUUGGCGGAGCCAUCCUUGGGAUACCACCCUUGUAGUACUGGGACUCUAACCAUAGGCCAUGAAUCUGGUCUUGGGACACUGUCAGGUGGGCAGUUUGACUGGGGCGGUCGCCUCCCAAAAGGUAACGGAGGCGCUCAAAGGUUCUCUCAGUACGGUCGGAAAUCGUACGUAGAGUGUAAAGGC